Cordylochernes scorpioides is the source of this 64-nucleotide non-coding RNA. The record is from the annotation of a GenBank genome assembly. NCBI's taxonomy places the organism in Eukaryota, Metazoa, Arthropoda, Arachnida, Pseudoscorpiones, Chernetidae.
GUCCAGGGUAGCCUAGUGGUCAUGGCAUCUGCCUGGUCGUGGGUUCGAUUCCCAUCCCUUGACA